Long non-coding RNA from Peromyscus eremicus (cactus mouse), 1715 nucleotides. RefSeq lists it as uncharacterized. The transcript has 2 exons. The record is from RefSeq and is a predicted model, not a curated record. NCBI's taxonomy places the organism in Eukaryota, Metazoa, Chordata, Mammalia, Rodentia, Cricetidae.
GAUACUGGGAAAUUGACCAGGGUUAAGUACUAUAAUUAUGCCUUUGUACAGCAGCUUCCCACCCCUUCAGUCCCAAUGCUUACUCUGUGUCCUGUGAGGAAAGCGGAGGGAUCAGCAUGGGUGGCAGACUCUUAGCAUCCUGCCCGCCAUUGUUUUCACUGCUUCAGGGGAACCUGGGCUAAAGUCAGCCCGUCUUGGCAGUACUCGGCUAUGUUGUGGAUUGGUCUUCAGCUGGCUAGGUUACAGUUGCAUUGUUGGGGUCCUCUUCACCAGAUCACUGGAGAUACAAUCACAGUGUUCGUCGGCAGCACCCAGAAUGGUUUCACCAAAGCAGUGAGAUGGAUCAAUCUAAGACGACUAAGCCCUGGCCUUGCAACUGUCGUGUUAACUGUUAGCUUUUGCUGUGUCUGUACAUUAAGGAAGGUCACAAUCUUAGCACAUUAAGAUGGUAACUGUCAGGGUAGUGCUUGGAGGCAGAGGCUGUGCCCAUGUGAGACAUUAAUGGCUGGGUGAGUUCAAUCAGAUACGCCGCCUCCAGUGUCUGCAUAAUGGUAUUUACUAGAUUUUAAAUGGACUGCUGAGAAAGAUGAAAUAUAAUCUCAUGUAUUAUCUCUGUCUUGGAAAAAAAAGAUAAUUAAAUUGUUCUCUUGCUAGCAUAUAUUUUAUUAACCUUUGUGGAGUCAUCUUAAAGAGCAAUGUCCCUGUAGAGUUGAAACCUUUCGCUCAGGUGGAAUGUUACCAAGUGACUCUGUGAGUUCUAGGAAUCCCAUAAUCCUAGGCUCGCUGGAGAGAGGAAAAUGAAAUGUAAAUUUUAUACAACUUAAUUAUUUUCCCCCUUUGUUUGUCUCUACAGAACCUAGAGAAGGUUCUAGUGGAAUUUAAUCACAAGGAGCUGUUCGAUUUCUACAACAAGCUUGAGACCAUACAAGCACAGCUGGAUUCCCUCACAUGAUGUUCUCGAAGACUGGCUUCGCCAUCACAUUCCUGCCACCUCGUCCUUUUGCCUUGAAGAGAAACGAACGUAUAUUUUCAGGAGGACUCGGUGACUUUAUUCUCAGAUAACAUGACUUAUCACUUCUUAAACAAAUAUCAGUGAAGGGAAAUCAUAAUAAGAGCACUGGGGUUCCUAAUAUACCGUCUCUCCUCACGUGAGCCAAGAACAAUUGUUGAGAAAGCCCCUGAAGGAAACCAACAGAGAAUGCCAUAUUGCUUUCUCUGUCGCGCUGCUGCGUCAUCACUUUGCCGCGGUCUUGCUUUCACGGAUCACUGAAGGUCUGUAGGCGGCCGGUGUGACGUGUGCCCUGGCAGAAUAUGGAAGCUUAUAAUUACAUUACUUAAUUAGGGGAGCAGUCCCAGGCCAUCCAGUGUCUCAGCAUUUGUCUUAGAACUCCAUUCUUGCUUGAGGUAUGAUAUAGGAAGGAAAUCUAAAAUGGCGCCAGUACUGUUAUGAGUUAAUUCCAAUGUGAUCCUCUUGCCCUGCCCGAUUGAAUUCUUCUGACUUUAAUGAUUUACUAAUCAUCUAGGUUUAUGUAUAUUUCUACAAAUUAAUAACAGUGCGCUUCACAGUGUGGAGACAGAUUCAGAUCGUGAAUGAAAACACCUGUAAUGAGGACUACAUGGGAAUCUGACAUUUUAAAUCAGAAGCUUUUGCAUUCUCCUUCUGUGGAUAUGUUCAUUGUUAUCAGUCAAUAAAAAUUUUAUACUUUAGAAUUAAA